AAACUCAAAGGAAUUGACGGGGCCCGCACAAGCGGAGGAACAUGUGGUUUAAUUCGAUGAUACGCGAGGAACCUUACCUGGGCUUAAAUGUAGAGUGCAUUUUCUAGAGAUAGGAAUUCCCUUCGGGGCUUUCUACAAGGUGCUGCAUGGUUGUCGUCAGCUCGUGCCGUGAGGUGUCGGGUUAAGUCCCAUAACGAGCGCAACCCUUAUCGUUAGUUGCCAUCUGGUAAAGCAGGGGACUCUAGCGAAACUGCCACCGUAAGGUGAGAGGAAGGUGGGGAUGACGUCAAAUCAGCACGGCCCUUAUGUCCAGGGCUACACACGUGCUACAAUGGUUGGUACAACGAGUUGCGAGUCGGUGACGGCGAGCUAAUCUCUUAAAGCCAAUCUCAGUUCGGAUUGUAGGCUGCAACUCGCCUACAUGAAGUCGGAAUCGCUAGUAAUCGCGGAUCAGCACGCCGCGGUGAAUACGUUCCCGGGCCUU
This 484-nucleotide ribosomal RNA is filed under the name uncultured Sphingobacteriales bacterium. RNAcentral describes it as "bacterial SSU rRNA". It matches the Rfam family "Bacterial small subunit ribosomal RNA", at positions 897 to 1382 of the family's 1533-position model. Lineage: Bacteria; Pseudomonadati; Bacteroidota; Sphingobacteriia; Sphingobacteriales. The record is from RNAcentral.